GUGGGGUCAAAGGUUCCCUGAGGCCCCAGGGCCCCAACCUGUGGGCACCGAGCAGCAGUGGAGGAGACAGGAGGGGUCUGGGGAAUACAGGUGCUGGGCUGUGGCAGCCUGUGACGGAGAGGGGCAAAGAAGGCCGGGUGUGGGGCGGCGGCAGCCCUGAGUGCUCUCCUCCCAGAGCUGAUGUUCUGCCUUCGGGAAGGAAGGGCCAGGACAAGGAGUUGGUUCACAGUGGACCCUUUCUCCCUGGGAUUCCAUCAGUCCCCUGCUCCUGACGUCCCCUCCCCAACCCUGCCAUCUCUUGCCUCCCGCUCACCCCACCCCAUUCCCGCCCAAGUCAUCAGCAUUUUACAGAUGAAGGAACUGGGGAUCCGGAAAGGGUGAGCAUCUCCAGAUCACACCCCCAAACUUGGGUCCUGGUCCCUCUGGCCUCCAGGAGGCUGCUGUGUCCAGGGACCCAGGGUGUGGCUUAGCCGGGUCUGAGCAGCUGAGCAGAGGAGGUUCCCAGUGCUGGGAUCACACAAGUGCACCCUGUGCCCUCUGACCUCUGCCCCUCAGACCCCACCCAGUGCAGGAGACCUGGGGUCUCUAGGGGACAGGAAAUGAAUCUGAAAUGCUGCCUCUCCUGUGGAAGGGCCAGCUCAGAAGCCAGGUCACACACAGUGUCUAACCCCACUUCAGACCUUCGCCAAAGUUGCUCCUCAAACCGCACCUCCUCCAGGUCCUCACUGUCGGAUGUGGACAUUUACUACAUUAACACCAGCUCUGAGUCACUUCCUUUCAGUUGGUGGUUAUUUGGACUCCACCACCCUUCCGACCUGCUCCGGACACCAGCAGCCCUCAAACCAGCUCAGACACCUCCAAGUCCCCUCCAGCUCACCUCCCCGACCAGACCCACUUUUCUUUAUGACUGUCCCCGGUUUAGGCCAGUUUACUAUGACGUGUGCCUCCAGCAUCACCCCUGGGCCACAACCUCAGGCUUUCCACCUCCGCCUUGGCCUGAGCCACGUGGGGUCCCAGCUCAUUGGGAUCCACGCCUCACCUGAGCUCCAGCUCUUGGAGCUGAGAGGGAUGGUCACCAGGAGGGGGUGAGCCUGGAACCCUGGCGUUCUCCUCCCUCCCCGACCCCCAGCAUCCAACUCAGAGAUCCUCUUGGAGGCAGCCACCACCCUCCAUGUCCAUGGACACCCUCCAGUCUUCCAGACAUACCUGUUCCCAACUGUCUCCUGCUCUGCUUUGCUUUUGCUGUCCAUCCACCCCUGCACUUAGAGCAGCCAGAGCAAAUCCUGUCUCUCCCCCAGUCCUGCGGGGCUUCCGUGGCUCUGAGCACGCAGCCCACCAUCCUGGCCCCCUCUCCAGUGUCUCCCCUGCUGCCCUCACCCCACACCACCUCACCCAGACACAGAGGAUGCAUCCCAUGCCUCUGGCCUCUCUCCACCCUCGUCUUUCCCUCACAUCUGCUCAUCAAAGGCCCUAAUCAGACAGGAGCCUGCGGGUGAGAAGCACCUGCUGCCGUGGCUGGAGUUUGGAGCCAUAACAUCAGGGCCAAAGCCAAGUUUUGCCACAAACUUGCUGUGAGGUCUCAGGCCAGAAAUGGUCUACACAGAAAUACCUGUGUGUGGACACUCUGCUUCUGCUUUCCUUUCUAUCAGAAUGGCACCCACAUCAGUGGUUGGCUUUGAGUUUUAGAGGAGGCAACAACUGCGAAAAGUAUUGACGGGGAAGGGCAGGCUGCGCUCAGUGUCAGCUCUCUGGAGUUCACCAACACUUUCUCAGAGCCGUGGAGACCCCUGCCCGCCUCACAGCUCUGUUCUGAGGGCCAAGUUAGACGCUUGCCCUGUGGAGACCCAACCAGCUGGAGAAUGUGACAACUUGUGUGGCAUGCUGCUGUGACCGUGAUCCCAGGCUGUACAUCACAAUCAUUUGGGGACACUUCUUCUGCAUUGCAAUAUAUUGAAAACUCACAUACAUCAUGCAGCUCGUGCCACCUCCAUCCAAGGAGGUGACUCACAUUCUGCCCCAGCUCCUCUUCUAUGUACUCCUGGGGUGGGCGCAUGCAGGGAUGUCACCUCUAAGUGCUACUAUGAAAAUGUUGCCUGGAAGGCAAAAGCUUCUAGGAACCCCUGCAUUUCAAAGCAGAAGCCUUCCAGCUCACAGACGUCGGCCUGCCACUCACAUCUCUGCUUGGCCUGUUUUUGUAGCAUGUCCACCUCCCUCUCCAAUCUGGAGGACCUGCCCUUAGCCUGGAGGAGCUUGGCCAAGGACUCUACGCUCAGGGCCAGGGACUCCUCCGGACUUGCUCAUAGUUCCCCUCCUCAUCUCCAGCCAUGUCCACGGAUGCCCUGUCCCCUGGCAAAUUCUUUAAAUCGUGUCUUUCCUGUGACGCCAAGUUGACAAGCAGAUUUUUCAGCUUUUGGUUUUCUUCUUCACACAGUUUUAGGGAAUCCUUUAGCUCAGAGACAUUCUCAGACAGAUUCUUACUAAUUUCCCUGCUGAUGUUAAGAGCUGUUUUUGUCAAUUUCAGCUUUCCCUCAAAGCCUGUCAAACCUUUAUAAAUCGGAUUUCCAUGGACAGCUCUUCCAACUCUGGUUAUUCUCUGGUUUGAAGGCAUGGCAGCCUUUGCUCCCUCUGAACAAGAGAACUCCCAGAAGAAAAAGGCUCCCCAAGGGAUAUGCCACCAGGACAGCUGAAGUUGGUCCCAGGCCAGAGGUCUUCAGGCCAUGAGCCCACCAGCACCUCAGCACAGUGACCCAUCAGGGGGACCGCACUCUGAAUGGCCCCAAGCACUGGCUAGGCCACAAACCAUGGACGUUUCUGAGCCUGGCUCCAACAGAGGCAGCAACCUCUGCCCUCACAGACAGCCGCUGACCUGGUCCCUCCACUGGAAGAUGGAUUUCCGCCUGGACUGGUGGCUUCAGAUUUCUCAUGUCUGGGUCAAGAUGCCCACAUUUUUGUGUUCAGGUUGUUUUGUCGAGUUUUCUGGGCUUCCUUCUGUUUUACAGAUUGAUUGAAUCGUGGUGGGGUUUGGGGGCAGCUGGGACUGGUUCUUCUCUUUCUGGUGGUUGGGGCACCACCUGGGGGCCAGGGACAUGGCCAGGGCCAAGGUAGCCAGGAGGCAAUGCGAAGUUUCCGAGGCUGCUUUUCUCACUCUCUGCAACUUCUGACCUCAGAUUGUCUGAGUGCAGCAUGGUUGAGGGGGUGGCACAUGACUGGUAUUCGGUAUUUUUUUUCUACCAGGUAGCAGCCUCUUCCAGCCAGCUCACCUGGGCCUGGCAGGGGUGCUGACCAUCCCAGGCAGAGGAGGGCUCAUCGCAGAACGAAAAGGGAAAACUUGGGGCCAGACACCUGGUGUGCAACUGGGUUGGGGGGUCAUUGGUAGCUCUUUGUUGCGCUGGGGGUGGGAGGCUCCUAGUUGGCUAGGUGUCCAGGGUGCUCACUGACCCUGUGCUGAGCUGGCUCAGAGGGCUCCUGAUUGGCCGGGUGUCUGCUGCUGUGUGCUGACGUGGUCGGAGGGCUCUCAGAUAUCCUAUCCUGAAUCUAGUUUCGAUGCCGGAGAUCUGAAGGUCCCUGGGCCACCAGCACCUCAGGUGAGUGGUCUGUUGUACUCUGACUCCAAAUGGGAAUGUAGGUGAGGAGCGCCUCCGGGUUUGGGUCCCUGAGGCGCCAGAUGCAGGUGCGGGCCUCGCGGGACCGCAGAGGGGCAGGAUGGUGUGGCGAACAGGAAGGUGAAGCCCAUAGUGUGGGUGAGAGGCCUGGGGCGGGACGAUGGGUGGAGGGCGCGCUGUCCUUCGGGUUGAAGAAUGUGGUGGAGAUAGCGAAGUGAAGGAGUAGAGGCGGAGGUGCCCUGUCUCUCAGCAAGGCCUCAGAUAGGUGCCACGGCUUUUAUAACCACCCUGACUCGUCACAAUGCCUCCCUGUGACGUCACAGCUGCGCUCCUGGCCAAUCGCCAAGUGAUUCUCAGCUGGUCUUGCUUGUGCGGCCAAUCACCACGGAGCUUGGCGGGCCAAUCGCCAGGCGGCUCUCACUGUGGCCCUCUUGACGUCACGACCCUGACACCAUCUCCCAUCCCCUAGGGGUGGGGGGUGUUCACACCGACCCUUGCCCAUUGCAGCACCCAGUUCUCGCUCCUCCUUCGCACAGCCUUCCUUUCACAGGUGGAGCAAAUGGGGGUGGGGGCAGUGACCGGCCCACUCAGGGCAGCCACCUGGUGCUCCCAGGACCACGGGAUCUGAGAGCUGGCGUAAGGGGGGCUGUUCCUCACGUGAUGUGAGUCCUCCCUGGGGACCCGCCCAUCGCCAAAGCUCCGCCCAGGCGUUUCCAUGGUGACCCUAACCACACCCCGGAUUCUGAGGUUCCCUUUGCUGCCUAAGCUUCUCCCAUCUGAUAUCAGUUCUGAGGAGGGGACCUCUGGGAAACGGAAAUCAGUGCGGGGUGGGUGGGCUGCUGUCCGAGGGCCUCGGUGAGAGCCUCUGGAAGAGGAUCCCAGAGGAGCUGCCAUGGCCUGCCCCUGCUGACAGGGUGAAUAAACGCUGGAGCCUCCUGACUCUGGACUCGGAACUUAUGCAAGGGAUGAGCAGCUGACCAUAAAUUUGGAGAUUUGGUGUUGUAGGAAUCUCCCUCCCAUUUUCUACUGGGAAAGAUUAACAUUAUACAUGACCAUAAUAAUUUGCUGAAAGUUGUCUUUGCUGUUGCUGCCAAAGACAGAUGGAGAGGAUUAUUUGAGAGAAAAGAUCAAGAAAAUAGAUCUUUUUGAAGAAAUAUGAAAGAAGGAAGCCAAUCCUUGGUGACAGCAUACUAGACAGUCAAGCUGACUUUAAGAACAUGCAAGUGAGUCCAAAUAAUAGAAAAAUACCUAACCUUAUAUGAAAGUAUUGACACAUGGGCAUCUCGUGCAUAACUUUCUUGGGGAUGUUGUUGAAUGUGGUAUAUAUGAUGGGAAACACCCUUGAAAGCGCAGAGAAGCUGAUGACCAUAGACUACAAAGGGAUCAAUUGAAGAGAGAAAAAUGGAUCUGCUCUGGUGAAGAAAGCCUAUGUAGAAGAGAAAGGGUCAUCCAGGGUCCUACAAUAGCAUUUGGAACAUAUCUUGGGCUCCAUAAACAUCUCUCAAUGGAAUGCUAGAAGUUGAAUGGCAUGAAGAUAUGGGAUAUAAUUACCCAGAUUGUUCCUACCAACCCUGAUCCUGGAGGUGGUUCUAAGUCACAGGUUCCUACUACGUGAAUACUGCUCAGAGCCGCUGACCUUUACUAUUUUCUGGCUGUAGUCUCAAAGGCCAAGAUAUGAUCAACAAAGGCUGAAAACUGAACCCAUUUCUGAGUGCAGGCUCUAUGAUAUGAUGGAGAAUGCACUUAGCCUCACCGCUGAAACAAAGCAAACAAUAAAUGUUAGUUAUCUCUGUCAUUACUAUUGCUAUUAUUAUCAUUCUAACAACGGGCAAUCUCAGAGUUGCUUUGCUGAAGGCUAUGCAAGCUCGUAGCGUAAAACAUCUCUGCCUUGUAAUACAUUAAAGAGGAAAUUAGAACAGAA
This 5523-nucleotide long non-coding RNA is filed under the name Equus caballus (horse). RNAcentral's name for it is "lncRNA (ENSECAG00000057714.1)". The record is from RNAcentral. Lineage: Eukaryota; Metazoa; Chordata; Mammalia; Perissodactyla; Equidae.